AUUGAACGCUGGCGGCAUGCCUUACACAUGCAAGUCGAACGGCAGCGGGGGAGAAGCUUGCUUUUCCUGCCGGCAAGUGGCGAACGGGUGAGUAAUACAUCGGAACGUGCCCUGUAGUGGGGGAUAACUAGUCGAAAGAUUAGCUAAUACCGCAUACGACCUGAGGGUGAAAGUGGGGGACCGCAAGGCCUCAUGCUAUAGGAGCGGCCGAUGUCUGAUUAGCUAGUUGGUGGGGUAAAGGCCUACCAAGGCGACGAUCAGUAGCUGGUCUGAGAGGACGAUCAGCCACACUGGACUGAGACACGGCCCAGACUCCUACGGGAGGCAGCAGUGGGGAAUUUUGGACAAUGGGCGAAAGCCUGAUCCAGCAAUGCCGCGUGUGUGAAGAAGGCCUUCGGGUUGUAAAGCACUUUUGUCCGGAAAGAAAUGGCUCUGGUUAAUACCUGGGGUCGAUGACGGUACCGGAAGAAUAAGGACCGGCUAACUACGUGCCAGCAGCCGCCGUAA
This 507-nucleotide ribosomal RNA is filed under the name uncultured bacterium. RNAcentral describes it as "partial 16S ribosomal RNA". It matches the Rfam family "Bacterial small subunit ribosomal RNA", at positions 30 to 523 of the family's 1533-position model. The record is from RNAcentral.